This is a non-coding RNA of Acidobacteria bacterium 13_1_40CM_2_60_7, 74 nucleotides long. The record is from Rfam. NCBI's taxonomy places the organism in Bacteria, Pseudomonadati, Acidobacteriota.
UGCGGGGUGGAGCAGUCUGGUAGCUCGUCGGGCUCAUAACCCGAAGGUCGUUGGUUCAAAUCCAACCCCCGCAA